GGAUUGAACGCUGGCGGCAUGCCUAACACAUGCAAGUCGAACGGGAGUAGCAAUACUCUAGUGGCGGACGGGUGAGGAAUACGUAGGAAUUUGCCCUUAAGUGGGGGAUAACCCGGGGAAACCCGGAUUAAUACCGCAUGACCUCGAAGAGCAAAGUGGGGGAUCGCAAGACCUCACGCUUUUGGAGAAGCCUACGUCGGAUUAGCUAGUUGGUGAGGUAAUGGCUCACCAAGGCGACGAUCCGUAACUGGUCUGAGAGGAUGAUCAGUCACACCGGAACUGAGACACGGUCCGGACUCCGUACGGGAGGCAGGCAGUGGGGAAUAUUGGACAAUGGGCGCAAGCCUGAUCCAGCAAGUCGCCGCGUGUGUAGAAGUAAGGCCGUUUCGGUUAGGUAAGCGUAACGUUUAAGGUUGGGAAACGAAAAACUCGGACU
RNAcentral lists this ribosomal RNA (436 nucleotides) under uncultured soil bacterium. Its description in RNAcentral is "bacterial SSU rRNA". It matches the Rfam family "Bacterial small subunit ribosomal RNA", at positions 27 to 471 of the family's 1533-position model. The record is from RNAcentral.